AGGACGAACGCUGGCGGCGUGCUUAACACAUGCAAGUCGAGCGACGCGCCUUCGGGUGACGGAGCGGCGAACGGGUGAGUAACACGUGGGCAACCUGCCCCCAGCUCUGGGACAACUCCGGGAAACCGGGGCUAAUACCGGAUACGACCUCGGAGGGCAUCCUCUGGGGUGGAAAGUUUUUCGGCUGGGGAUGGGCCCGCGGCCUAUCAGCUUGUUGGUGGGGUCACGGCCCACCAAGGCGACGACGGGUAGCC
RNAcentral lists this ribosomal RNA (254 nucleotides) under uncultured bacterium. Its description in RNAcentral is "partial small subunit ribosomal RNA". It matches the Rfam family "Bacterial small subunit ribosomal RNA", at positions 26 to 288 of the family's 1533-position model. The record is from RNAcentral.